CUACGGGUCGCUGCAGUGGGGAAUAUUGCACAAUGGGCGAAAGCCUGAUGCAGCAACGCCGCGUGGAGGAUGACACAUUUCGGUGCGUAAACUCCUUUUAUAUAAGAAGAUAAUGACGGUAUUAUAUGAAUAAGCACCGGCUAACUCCGUGCCAGCAGCCGCGGUAAUACGGGGGGUGCAAGCGUUACUCGGAAUCACUGGGCGUAAAGAGCAUGUAGGCUGGAUGACAAGUUGGAAGUGAAAUCCUAUGGCUUAACCAUAGAACUGCUUCCAAAACUGUCUUCCUAGAGUAUGGGAGAGGUAGAUGGAAUUUCUGGUGUAGGGGUAAAAUCCGUAGAGAUCAGAAGGAAUACCGAUUGCGAAGGCGAUCUACUGGAACAUUACUGACGCUCAGAUGCGAAAGCGUGGGAAGCAAACAGGAUUAGAUACCCGAGUAGUC
This 439-nucleotide ribosomal RNA is filed under the name uncultured bacterium. RNAcentral describes it as "partial 16S ribosomal RNA". It matches the Rfam family "Bacterial small subunit ribosomal RNA", at positions 339 to 795 of the family's 1533-position model. The record is from RNAcentral.